AGAGCGAACGCUGGCGGCAGGCCUAACACAUGCAAGUCGAGCGCCGUAGCAAUACGGAGCGGCAGACGGGAGAGUAACACGUGGGAACGUACCCUUCAGUUCGGAACAACCCAGGGAAACUUGGGCUAAUACCGGAUACGUCCGUAAGGAGAAAGAUUUAUCGCUGAAGGAUCGGCCCGCGUCUGAUUAGCUUGUUGGUGAGGUAACGGCUCACCAAGGCUACGAUCAGUAGCUGGUCUGAGAGGAUGAUCAGCCUCACUGGGACUGAGACACGGCCCAGACUCCUACGGGAGGCAGCAGUGGGAAUAUUGGACAAUGGGCGCAAGCCUGAUCCAGCCAUGCCGCGUGGGUGAUGAAGGCCCUAGGGUUGUAAAGCCCUUUCGGCGGGGAAGAUAAUGACGGUACCCGCAGAAGAAGCCCGGCUAACUCGUGCCAGCAGCCGC
RNAcentral lists this ribosomal RNA (443 nucleotides) under uncultured bacterium. Its description in RNAcentral is "SSU rRNA". It matches the Rfam family "Bacterial small subunit ribosomal RNA", at positions 26 to 518 of the family's 1533-position model. The record is from RNAcentral.